RNAcentral lists this unclassified non-coding RNA (284 nucleotides) under air metagenome. Its description in RNAcentral is "partial contains small subunit ribosomal RNA, internal transcribed spacer 1, and 5.8S ribosomal RNA". The stretch from base 1 to 46 matches the Rfam family "Eukaryotic small subunit ribosomal RNA", at positions 1786 to 1831 of the family's 1831-position model. The record is from RNAcentral.
AAGUCGUAACAAGGUUUCCGUAGGUGAACCUGCGGAAGGAUCAUUAACGAGUUUUGAAAGGGGUUGUCGCUGGCCUUUCACAAGGCAUGUGCACGCUCUGCUCAUCCACUCAUUUCAACCUCUGUGCACUUAUUGUAGGCUUGGGUGACCGCAGGUCUUGCUCUCUGGAGCUUGACUUUGGAAGCCUUUGCUUAUGUUUUCACUAUAAACGCUUUAGUAUUUGAAUGUCAUCUUGCGUGUAACGCAUCUUUAUACAACUUUCAGCAACGGAUCUCUUGGCUCUC